Rhododendron vialii is the source of this 1048-nucleotide long non-coding RNA. RefSeq lists it as uncharacterized. The transcript has 2 exons. The record is from RefSeq and is a predicted model, not a curated record. NCBI's taxonomy places the organism in Eukaryota, Viridiplantae, Streptophyta, Magnoliopsida, Ericales, Ericaceae.
AUUGUUGCGAGGGAUUUCAACUGUCUCCCAAUGAAAGAAAUUGUUUUCUGGCACUCUGCAAAUUUAGCAGCUGCUGCUGCUAGCUCCUCCUCCUGUCAUAUGCAAUUAAAAUGUGCAAAGGAAUUCAGUUACGGAAAGAAGAAAAGGAAGAAAAGGCAAUCAAGCAGGAAUCAUCAUUAUUGUCAUCAUUAUCACUUGGAAUCAGAUAAUAUAAUGCUGUGAUAUUUAGAGCUAUAGAGGUGAUUUGUUGAAUGUUUCUUUGGGUGUGGAUGACAAUACAACAUUGCUUCUUAAGGAAAUUUAUAAUUCUUUGGGCAGAUGCAAGACUCUCCUUGUAUGGUCCGAUGAGGGGGUGGAAAUGUGAGUCCUGACCAGCUUGAGCUUUUGAUUAAUCAAUUGGAGGCGUUGAAUGUGGGGAUUACUGGAAUCUUGAGGAAGAACAAGGAACUUAACACAUAUUCAGUAUUCGACAUUCAGUUGACUGUGACGAAAAAAAAAGCAACAAGGACUUGGAAGGGGCAUGUAGGAAGAAGAAAUCUGUCGGCCCUUCUGUUAUUUUCAGCGAACAAUGUAGGGAAGAAUUCGAGCAGAAGUAUCGUGAAAUCAAAUUAGAAGCUGCUUUUCAAACAGCGGGAGGACCAUGACUGCUAAUGAGUUUAAGCACUUUAUUAUGACUUUAGGCUCUUUCUUUUCAUGAUUUUUGUGGGGAGAGCUGUUUUGGGUUGUUUGAGGGUCGUUUAUUGAUGUGUUUUUGGGGUGCGGUCUUUUUUCUCUAUUGUCACUGCAUUGAAGAAGAAAUAGUUGGAUUCAGUUACUGACGUACAAUAUACCAGUUUUUGAGAAAAACCAGUAUCGCAGCAUUGAGAGGGUUAUAUCUACAGGAAAAAAGAAGCUAGAAAACUGACCUGCUUUAUUUUCCAAUCUCCAUUAAACAUUGCAGCAUUCCGGAUAUCAACUUCGCGCUUCAUUCCCAAAAUCUCAUCUUCCAAUUUCCGACACUUGACCGCUGCUUCUUCCGACAAAACCUUCUCUUUUCGGACUUCUACUU